UUAAAUAACCGAUUUUAAAAGUAGCACUUUUAAAAUUGGUUCUUAAAUAAACGAUUUUAAAAGUAGCACUUUUAAGAUAGGUUAAAAUU
This 89-nucleotide microRNA precursor is filed under the name Cajanus cajan (pigeon pea). RNAcentral describes it as "miRNA gene-KK1_048573". Lineage: Eukaryota; Viridiplantae; Streptophyta; Magnoliopsida; Fabales; Fabaceae. The record is from RNAcentral.